This 216-nucleotide unclassified non-coding RNA is filed under the name Hevea brasiliensis (rubber tree). Lineage: Eukaryota; Viridiplantae; Streptophyta; Magnoliopsida; Malpighiales; Euphorbiaceae. The record is from RNAcentral.
AAAGCCAUAGCUCAAUACUUUGCAUCUACACUUAAUUCCGCCAUCUAAUUUUGCUUUUUACUUUUUCCAAGGUAUUAGAUCACCUAUUAUUAGAAUGCAAUAUCUAGACUGUCUAUUUGAAGGAGAUCUUGUCUAUUCUGCAUCAAAAUACCCAACAAUCUGCACUCCUUGUCUUCAUACAACAAACCUUGUCUUGGAGCCCCUUGGUAUACUUCG